GACGAACGCUGGCGGCGUGCUUAACACAUGCAAGUCGAACGGAAAGGCCCCUUUUUUGGUACUCGAGUGGCGAACGGGUGCGUAACACGUUAGUAACCUGCCCUUGACUUCGUGAUAACUUCAGGAAACUGGGGCUAGUACCGGAUAGGAAUCCUUUCUGCAUUGUGGGGGUUGGAAAGCUUCGGCGGUUUUGGCUGGACUCGCGGCUUAUCAGCUUGUUGGUGGGGUAGUGGCUUACCAAGGCUUUGGCGGGUAGCCGGCCUGAGAGGGCGACCGGCCACAUUGGGACUGAGAUACGGCCCAGACUCCGACGGGAGGCAGCAGUGGGGAAGAUUGCACAAGGGGCGGAGGGAGGAUGCAGCAACGCCGCGUGCGGGAUGACGGCCUUCGGGGUGUAAACCGCUUUCAGCAGGGGCGAAGCUUGUGGUGAAGGUACCUGCAGAAGAAGCAGCGGAUAACUACG
Molecule: ribosomal RNA, 463 nt
Filed under: uncultured bacterium
Lineage: Bacteria
Description: partial 16S ribosomal RNA
Rfam family: Bacterial small subunit ribosomal RNA
Source: RNAcentral